AUGCCCCCAUCUAUCUCGCUUCUCUCUCUCUCGCCUUCUCUUUUUCCGCCGCCGCCGCCUUCGCCGGCCGGUUCCGACGAAAUCCGGCGGUCUCAGUUAUCGUGCUGGCUACCAAUCUCCUCCUCUCCUCGCGCUCUGGUUUCGGUGUACUCGACCUCCUCGUCGCCGGCGAUGCUCCGGCGUCUUGCAGCGGCCCAAGGAGGAGCUUCAUACUCGGCAUGUGGAGCUCGAGACGCGGCGGUGGUCCAUGGCAUCGAGACCAUCCGUCUUCCUCUACAGAAGCAGCGCGGGCCGCAGAGACGCCCGGCUCAAUCGUGCUCUCAUGUCGCAGUUCUUCUGCCCGACGAAGAAGAGAGGCGAAUAGGAGAAGCACGAUGCAAGUACACAAGUUUUUCUCUUCUUUCCGAAAUUUUCCCGCCUCUCUUCCAGUGCCGUACUCCUAGAGCUUCUCAUCUUUGUGUCUUUGUUUCUGCAGAUGUUGUUUCUCUAUGCCUACAAGGUGUUCGAAGAAAUUCCAAGAAGACUGACAGGGAGUUUUUGUAUCAGAACAUAUGUUUUUUUUCAAUGUCUUUGAAUCAUAAUGUCCGGUGUGUAGUGAUGCUUGAUAAAACAUCUGCUUUUAGCCCUGGGACUCAUGCUUCAGCAUAUGUUCCAUCACGUGAUAAUUAUACACUUGGGGAAGCGGCUGCGAUCAAGCCACCGCCGUUGAGUCGACGGUGUCGUGCCUCUGCGACCGGGAUCAGGCAAGGUAGAUGGGAAGAAGUGGCGCCCCUCUCCCCUGAGCUCCAGAUCCAUGGCAGCAGCAGCAGCGAGGACAUCCGCGACGUAUAUCCCAAGAAGUUGCCAAACUACAAGGCCAAGCUGAAAAAUUUCUUUGAAGAGCACUUGUGUUACUUUGAUGCGAGGGACCAAAAUGAAGAGUGGAUCUAUAUAGCAGUGAAGGAAGGGGGCAUGAUUGUUUUGCCUGCAGGAAUGUAUCAUGGAUUCACGUUGGACAAUGACAACUACAUCAAAGAGACUAUGCUCCAGUUGUUUGUAGUUGUGCUCCGAAUAGAUGUCCCCCUACUUCUGCCCUACACAUACUGGAAACAGGAGAAUGAAAGGGGUGUGAAGCUCGCCGUCGACACGCAUCGGCUUUGUGUGCGCUGCCAGCGGCCAACCACUCAGCAUCCAACCAGGAGUUACAAGGAGCGAUGGCUGUUCCAUAACCCACUUCAUUUGGUUCUCACCGAUAUUGAGCGCAAUGCAGGAGCACCUGGUGAGCUUGAGGAACAUUGUUAUUGGGGCAAUGAGGUUAAGAUCUAUGAGCACCAUUAUUUUCAGGUUCACUACACCAAAGAGAAUCCGAUGGACUACAUUAACCUGGAUGAUGAUACACUGAAGAUCAGGAUUGUUGACGGCAAUUGCAUGAUGAUUGUCGCAUCAUGCUGGGAACUGACAAGAGGGCCACCAUCACCACCAACUUGUCAGAGUUCUGCCACCGUGCACACAUCCGCGAAGGAGACAUCUGCGCAUUCCGCUUCAAGGUCACCGAAAAUGCCGCCUUGCUCUCACCGUGCCAUCGCCUCUAGACGCAUUAUCGACAAUGACAGAAUAACAUCACAUGUGCUAAUUAGUACACAGGACGUUGAAAGGGGCGUGUCCUACCUGGCACUGCCCAGGUGGCGCGCCAAGGGCGCGCCCCAACCACUAGUUUGA
Molecule: ribosomal RNA, 1698 nt
Filed under: Triticum aestivum (bread wheat)
Lineage: Eukaryota; Viridiplantae; Streptophyta; Magnoliopsida; Poales; Poaceae
Description: partial small subunit ribosomal RNA
Source: RNAcentral